CACGUAGGGUGCGAGCGUUGUCCGGAAUUAUUGGGCGUAAAGAGCUCGUAGGCGGUCCGUCACGUCGGAUGUGAAAUUCCAGGGCUCAACCCUGGACCUGCAUUCGAUACGGGCGGACUAGAGUUCGGUAGGGGAGACUGGAAUUCCUGGUGUAGCGGUGAAAUGCGCAGAUAUCAGGAGGAACACCGGUGGCGAAGGCGGCAUCCUGGACCGACAUUGACGCUGAACGGCGAAAGCUAGGGGAGCAAACGGG
Molecule: ribosomal RNA, 253 nt
Filed under: uncultured bacterium
Lineage: Bacteria
Description: partial 16S ribosomal RNA
Rfam family: Bacterial small subunit ribosomal RNA
Source: RNAcentral